CUCCAGCUGACGAGUCCCAAACAGGACGAAACGCGUGUCCUGGAU
Molecule: non-coding RNA, 45 nt
Organism: Schistosoma mansoni
Lineage: Eukaryota; Metazoa; Platyhelminthes; Trematoda; Strigeidida; Schistosomatidae
Source: Rfam